Molecule: ribosomal RNA, 406 nt
Filed under: uncultured bacterium
Lineage: Bacteria
Description: partial 16S ribosomal RNA
Rfam family: Bacterial small subunit ribosomal RNA
Source: RNAcentral
AUUGAACGCUGGCGGCAGGCCUAACACAUGCAAGUCGAGCGAGCGGCGGACGGGUGAGUAAUGUAUGGGGAUCUGCCCGAUAGAGGGGGAUAACUACUGGAAAAGGUGGCUAAUACCGCAUACUAUCGGAUGAACCCAUAUUGGAUUAGCUAGUAGGUGGGGUAAAGGCUCACCUAGGCGACGAUCUCUAGCUGGGCUGAGAGGAUGAACAGCCACACUGGGACUGAGACACGGCCCAGACUCCUACGGGAGGCAGCCGGGGGGAAUAUUGCACAAUGGGCGUAAACCUGAUGCAGCCAUGCCGCGUGUAUGAAGAAGGCCUUAAGGGUUUAAAGUCCUUUCAGCGGGGAGGCUUUACCCGCAGAAGAAGCACCGGCUGACUCCGUGCCAGCAGCCGCGGUAAUUC